UAGUCCACGCCGUAAACGAUGGAUACUAGGUGUCGGGGGAGUCAAUCCCUUCGGUGCCGGAGCUAACGCGUUAAGUAUCCCGCCUGGGGAGUACGAUCGCAAGAUUGAAACUCAAAGGAAUUGACGGGGGCCCGCACAAGCGGUGGAGUAUGUGGUUUAAUUCGAUGAUACGCGAAGAACCUUACCUGGAUUUAACAUGGGAAUGAAAGCUUCUAGAGAUAGAAGCCCUCUUCGGACAUUCUACAUAGGUGCUGCAUGGCUGUCGUCAGCUCGUGUCGUGAGAUGUUGGGUUAAGUCCCGCAACGAGCGCAACCCUUGUCGUUAGUUGCCAUCAGGUUAUGCUGGGAACUCUAACGAGACUGCCCUUUUUUGAAGGGGAGGAAGGUGGGGAUGACGUCAAGUCCUCAUGGCCCUUACGUCCAGGGCUACACACGUACUACAAUGGUCGGUACAAAGAGUCGCAAUACCGUGAGGUGGAGCUAAUCUCAAAAAGCCGAAUCUAAGUCCGGA
This 510-nucleotide ribosomal RNA is filed under the name uncultured bacterium. Its description in RNAcentral is "bacterial SSU rRNA". It matches the Rfam family "Bacterial small subunit ribosomal RNA", at positions 791 to 1297 of the family's 1533-position model. The record is from RNAcentral.